Molecule: long non-coding RNA, 1087 nt
Organism: Ctenocephalides felis (cat flea)
Lineage: Eukaryota; Metazoa; Arthropoda; Insecta; Siphonaptera; Pulicidae
Exons: 6
Source: RefSeq, a predicted model, not a curated record
GAACCGACUCAAGCGGUUUGACUGUUCCUUUGACGAAAGCUAAACUAACCGCAUACAAAAUGGCGCAAUAUGUCAGGAAUUUGUCAUGUAUCAAGUUAUAUUUUCUUUUGUAUAAUAAUUACAUUCGUUUAGUUAAGCAACUUGUUCAUAGUGAUAAUUGUAGAAAAGUGUAGAAAAAUGACACCUGCAUUAUAUCCUGGGAUGAAGAAACGUUAUUUUAUGUCGAUUUCUUUAGAUGACAAAGGAGGUAACCAAAUAGCAUAUCUUACAAAAUCUGAGGACAAUAAUAAGGAUCGUUUAUCAAGGUUAAAAUAAUUAUUUUACUAAAUUAAGACAUUAACAUAUCCAUGUGUUCGACAUAACCUCACUUCUUAAAUCUCUUAAAUUAGUCGGUUGAGAAGCGGAUCGAGAAUGAUUGUUUGAAUAUAAGUCGUACAAAAUUGGAAUGAAACGAUGAACAAUAUACAGAUCUUUAGACAGGCUCAAAUAAUAAAACCUCUAAAAUUGGGAACAGUAUGUCAUAUAUGCAUGAACUUGAUUGAUGUAUUGAUGUAUAAUGAACUGAAGAUAUAAUGAAUUCAAUCAGGUUAAAAAAAAUGUAUGUGCAAAAGCGACUCGAAGACGAUUUAGAUUUGUCUCCUGAAUAUAAAACUUCCAAGAAGUACAUCAUAUAUGAAUAUCCUGUAUCCUCGCAUUUGAUGUAUUGAACUGGCGAUAGAAUGAAAUCAGUCAGUGUUAAAAAUGUAUGUGUAAAAGCGACUUUAAGAUGAUGGAGAUUUGUACACUGAACAUAAAACUUCCAAAAUUUGGGGCAGUAUGUCAUAUGUGCAUAAUCUGUAUCCUGGCAUUUGAUGCAAUGAACUGGCGAUAGAAUGAAAUAAUGAAAAAUAGGCAGGCUGUUUGAUGUAUAAGGAAGUGGCGAUAGAAUACUUAUGCAACACUUCACACUUCACGCCCCAAAAAUAGAAUUACGUUCAUUAGAUAUACAACAAUUUUCAUUAAAUAUACUGUUAUUAAUAUGUUAAGAUUGAAUAAUUUGUAAAAAGUUUUCUAGUAUAGUUCAUGUUAAAAUUUUAUAAUUUCAAAA